This is an RNA transcript of Rhopalosiphum maidis (corn leaf aphid), 2275 nucleotides long. RefSeq lists it as uncharacterized. NCBI's taxonomy places the organism in Eukaryota, Metazoa, Arthropoda, Insecta, Hemiptera, Aphididae. The transcript is spliced from 3 exons. The record is from RefSeq and is a predicted model, not a curated record.
ACGGUGUUUUCCGACGAUAAACAUUUUAUUAUAAUAAUAUAAAGUACACAAUGUGGGUAAGCGCAAUGCGUGUUUACGUCUCAUAUUAUACCAUAUUAUUAUAGGUACGAACACAUUUUAAAUCUGAAACAAUAACCACUGUAAAUGCGUGUCGCGUAGUCGACGGACGAAAUAUUCUGUACGGUGUACCUACUUCUGUUUAGUGAAAAUAAUUGAUUAUGAUAAUACUACUAGAUGCGAAUUAACAAUAACAUUAUAAUAUAAUAUACCGCCGCAGACGUGAAUAAACUAGACGAGUUUCUCGCGCAAUAAUUAUAAGAACACUACCUAUACGAUACAUGCGCAUUUGAUAAACGCAUAAUAUCUUUUUAUAAUUAAUUUAGUUGUGUCGCGCACUUUUUGGCUUUUCCGAUGUAUAUUAUUUAUCAACUAUAAUAUUAUAAUGCUAAGACACGUGUAAAUCAGUCAAUUGCUACUACAGGCGGGAACGGGCGGACACACGAGAGCCGGUUCGAUGGCGAAUCGCAACGGUGAGAGUUGUUGUUGUAGCGACGACGACGACGACGACGACAGCGACGACAACGACGACGACGAAGACGACAACAGCAGUGGAUCGUGUUCAAGCUGUUCCACCACAGAAGCGGACGACAACGUGAUCCGACAGCGACUGUCAUCCGGCCGGACGACCACCGCGGUCGCGGCCACGUCGUUCGAUCUCCUGGACGCCCGGCGGCUGCCGGACUUGUUGGACGCCGAGCGGCUGGUGGCCGUACUGGACGGGUGCCUGGGAUCAGAGUACGUACGCGGCUGCGUGGUCGAGACGUGGGACGCGGUACUCAGCGAACACCUGGAGGCCAUCGCGCACCUCGUGCUGUACCAGACGCCCGAGCACGCGGUCAGCCAGGCCGUGUACGAACAGCUCGCCGGGCUGUCGGCGUCACUCCGCCCGUCAACCGAUGACAGCACACAGCAACAGCGGCCGGCCCGCGUGGACGCUGAACGCGUGUACGGCACGCUCAGAUCGGCGGCCCGGUCGCUGUUGACCACCCGGGUGGACGCGUGCUGCCGGCAGAGCAUGUGCCGGGCCGUAGGGUUGGCCGUGGCCGCGCUCCGGUGCAGCACGCGGCCCGUGUUCUCGGUGGAAAAUUUCGUGGUCGAAAUCAACGAGGCGGCCAACUUCGCCAACCUGUACUGCACCGGGUACGCCAAGCGCAUAUGCGCCGCGCUCGAAGGCAUCUACGACACGGUCAUGGCCGGCGAUUAUCAUCCGACCAACGUCGUGGUCCAGAUGGCCGUCAUGGACAAGUGCAUCAAAGCGGCGCUUCGAACGCUGGCCGACGCCCGGGCCACGGCCGCGCAAAAGACGGCCGCCCAGCGGUCGCUGCUCGCCGAGCUCGACGACGUGGGCGCGACGGUGCGCAUGAAGAACUACGGAUGCGUAGACGACACGGCCGCCGACCUGCCACAGCAGCAACGCCAGCUCGCGGCGCUGGCCACCGCGUCCCCGGCCCGGUUCGUUCACUUCACCAUGAGCCCGUGGCGAGCGCCCAUCCGCAUGUACAACCAACAGUCGCCGACCACCGUGGAUCAGGUACUCAGGGCCACGGUCAGCCUGAUCGAGGCGCUUGUCGCCGAACUGUUCAAGCCAUGCCUGAACAGCCGGCACAGCGUCCGCCGCCGCCGCCGCCGCACGUGCAGCAGCCGUCAGGCGCACGACAAACAACUCUAGGACGACCCUUAUAUUUUUCGAUGUAAAUACGUCAUUUAUAUCAGAUCCCGCGCGGUCCAUAGCUUACCUAUACUUAUCACAAUACGCGAUCCACAUAUUCCGAUGAGUAGGCAAUAGAAGCCCAACUUACCAACUGCCUUUUUUCCCCGACAAAACUAACCAUGACGUCCUCAAGCUGCCAAAGAUGCUAUCAUAACCACGGCAUCGUUCACAUUAUAAAGCCACGCGCAUAUAAAUAAAUUACAUUUUCUCACAAAAUUAUAAAUUUGUUCCUAAAAAUAAGUGUAAAGUUAAUAUUGCCAAAGACUUAGAACUACAACUUUAUAGACACAUAGCGUUUACUAAGUGACUAUUAUAAGCGGUGUUAUGCGGUCCUCUAAUUAUGUAAUAAUAAAGCAGUACCUAUACAAUGUAGCAAAACAAUCACCAGAAGCCACCAAUAUUCAUUAUAUAAAUUUAUUAAUAUACAAUGCGUAUUAAAAUAUUCCGAGAGUAUUUAUAAAAUUUUCGUGUAAGUCAACUAUAAUAAAUAUUUAGAUAUUUUCA